Molecule: long non-coding RNA, 725 nt
Organism: Herpailurus yagouaroundi (jaguarundi)
Lineage: Eukaryota; Metazoa; Chordata; Mammalia; Carnivora; Felidae
Exons: 2
Source: RefSeq, a predicted model, not a curated record
AGUCGCGCAAGUGAGUAGCAGAGCCGGUCCAGAACCCAGGAAUUCGGGUCCAAUCCGAAACUCAUUUCAGGACUUAGAAUUGCCUAAUUCUGGUGUUUGUUUGCCUGCGCUCUUUGAAGCCUGCAAGCUUCUAGGAAAUGCAAUAAAAUAGAGGGAUGUGUUUUAUCAUCAAGAUCUGAAGAGGAGCUGCAGAAGGGACGCUCCCCAUGCGCCCAGCUCGCGACAGCCUUCCAGAAAGAGCCGGCAGACAAUGCCAACAAACUACGUCCCUAAGCAGAGAUAUCUCGGUCAUCCAGGCUGGACUGGGCUCUGCCUUUGCAAAAAGGCUGCAGGGGGAGGGGAGCGGCAUGAUGUCCCCAAGCAAACAAUGCCUUUAAAAAUCCGAUCUGGACAGAAGUCAGCCAAGGUCUUUAUUCACCUUAAUGAAGAUGGAAGGCACUAACUGUCCUUGGAAAGCGAUGAGUCAAACUUGACCGCUCUUCAAACACAUGCCCAGAUUCGUUUCCAACCCGAACAGAGGCGCGUUUCUCCGACGCGGCCUCCGACAGUUCCCGCAGUGGGAGAGGCUGAACUCGAUUUCCUAGGACCAGGGAGGUGGAGACGGCAGCACCUCCCGCGGGUGUGCGUCGCCGGCGGCCGUCGCUAGGGGUCGCCGGCACCCGUACGCGCGCUUUGCCAUCUUAAGUUUUCAGCUCCAAGAAAUUAAAACUUUGCUUAAGAAGAAA